GAUGAACGCUGGCGGCGUGCCUAAUACAUGCAAGUCGAGCGAACAGACGAGGAGCUUGCUCCUCUGACGUUAGCGGCGGACGGGUGAGUAACACGUGGAUAACCUACCUAAAGACUGGGAUAACUUCGGGAAACCGGAGCUAAUACCGGAUAAUAUAUUGAACCGCAUGGUUCAAUAGUGAAAGACGGUUUUGCUGUCACUUAUAGAUGGAUCCGCGCCGCAUUAGCUAGUUGGUAAGGUAACGGCUUACCAAGGCAACGAUGCGUAGCCGACCUGAGAGGGUGAUCGGCCACACUGGAACUGAGACACGGUCCAGACUCCUACGGGAGGCAGCAGUAGGGAAUCUUCCGCAAUGGGCGAAAGCUUGACGGAGCAACGCCGCGUGAGUGAUGAAGGUCUUCGGAUCGUAAAACUCUGUUAUUAGGGAAGAACAAAUGUGUAAGUAACUAUGCACGUCUUGACGGUACCUAAUCAGAAAGCCACGGCUAACUACGUG
Molecule: ribosomal RNA, 496 nt
Filed under: uncultured bacterium
Lineage: Bacteria
Description: partial 16S ribosomal RNA
Rfam family: Bacterial small subunit ribosomal RNA
Source: RNAcentral